RNAcentral lists this ribosomal RNA (476 nucleotides) under uncultured bacterium. RNAcentral describes it as "partial 16S ribosomal RNA". It matches the Rfam family "Bacterial small subunit ribosomal RNA", at positions 30 to 506 of the family's 1533-position model. The record is from RNAcentral.
AUUGAACGCUGGCGGCAUGCCUUACACAUGCAAGUCGAACGGUAACAGGUUAAGCUGACGAGUGGCGAACGGGUGAGUAAUGUAUCGGAACGUGCCCAGUCGUGGGGGAUAACUGCUCGAAAGAGCAGCUAAUACCGCAUACGACCUGAGGGUGAAAGCGGGGGAUCGCAAGACCUCGCGCGAUUGGAGCGGCCGAUAUCAGAUUAGGUAGUUGGUGAGGUAAAGGCUCACCAAGCCGACGAUCUGUAGCUGGUCUGAGAGGACGACCAGCCACACUGGGACUGGGACACGGCCCAGACUCCUACGGGAGGCAGCAGUGGGGAAUUUUGGACAAUGGGCGCAAGCCUGAUCCAGCCAUGCCGCGUGCGGGAAGAAGGCCUUCGGGUUGUAAACCGCUUUUGUCAGGGAAGAAAAGGUUCUGGCUAAUACCUGGGACUCAUGACGGUACCUGAAGAAUAAGCACCGGCGAACUACGU